RNAcentral lists this long non-coding RNA (338 nucleotides) under Bos indicus x Bos taurus (hybrid cattle). Its description in RNAcentral is "lncRNA (ENSBIXG00005030659.1)". The record is from RNAcentral. Lineage: Eukaryota; Metazoa; Chordata; Mammalia; Artiodactyla; Bovidae.
GCUUAUUAACUGGGGGGAAGGGAGUGCUACUUCAGGCCCGACAUUAUAAAGGCAUUUUCCUUUAAGAGCUUUUCCUGAACUUUUCACACCGGCUUGGCUGUAGGGAGCAGGGCAGAGAGAGCAGCCCCUCAUCCCAGGUCCCAGGAGGGCUACGGCCAGAUGAGCCAUGAGCCUCCAUGACGGACACGAUGUCCUCCAGAGGGCUCCGAGGCCCUGUCACGCAGCUGCAGCGUCCCACACUGUGGCUGACAGAUGAAGAAACUAAAGCACUCAGCUAAUCCUGCAGCAACCUGAACAGAGGCAGGGGCUCCUCUAUGGAGGAAGCACAACCUCCUGAA